This 59-nucleotide transfer RNA is filed under the name Loxodonta africana (African savanna elephant). It matches the Rfam family "tRNA", at positions 14 to 71 of the family's 71-position model. From Rfam's summary of the family: Transfer RNA (tRNA) molecules are approximately 80 nucleotides in length. Their secondary structure includes four short double-helical elements and three loops (D, anti-codon, and T loops). The record is from Rfam by way of RNAcentral. Lineage: Eukaryota; Metazoa; Chordata; Mammalia; Proboscidea; Elephantidae.
AGUGGUUAAGAGCUUGGCUGCUAACCAAAAAACUGGUGGUUCAAAUCCACCAGCUGCUC